UGCUUCAGAAAGACCUGGAAUUAGCAGGUACAAUUGUGUCAAAGAAAACAACAAGUAAUGCACUCAGCCUCCAUGGCCCGUGUGCACGCUCACCACGCAAGACUCCAUUGCUGAAUAAAUAGCAUGUUGAAGCUCGUCUAAAGUUUGCUG
Long non-coding RNA from Thalassophryne amazonica, 150 nucleotides. RefSeq lists it as uncharacterized. The transcript has 3 exons. The record is from RefSeq and is a predicted model, not a curated record. Lineage: Eukaryota; Metazoa; Chordata; Actinopteri; Batrachoidiformes; Batrachoididae.